GACAUACUCCCUCCGUCCCAAAAUUCUUGUCUUAGCUUUGUUUAAAAAUGAAUGUUUCCAAAUACUAAAACUUGACUAGAUACAUUCAUAUCUAAAUAAAUCCAGGACAAGAAUUUUGGGACGGAGGGAGUACCUG
Hordeum vulgare subsp. vulgare (domesticated barley) is the source of this 136-nucleotide non-coding RNA. The record is from Rfam. NCBI's taxonomy places the organism in Eukaryota, Viridiplantae, Streptophyta, Magnoliopsida, Poales, Poaceae.